CCUACGGGAGGCUGCAGUGAGGAAUAUUGGUCAAUGGCCGAGAGGCUGAACCAGCCAAGUCGCGAGAGGGAAGACGGCCCUACGGGUUGUAAACCUCUUUUGUCGGGGAGCAAAGCGAGUCACGUGUGACUCCUUGAGAGUACCCGAAGAAAAAGCAUCGGCUAACUCCGUGCCAGCAGCCGCGGUAAUACGGAGGAUGCGAGCGUUAUCCGGAUUUAUUGGGUUUAAAGUGUGCGCAGGCGGAGGUGCAAGUCAGCGGUCAAAUUGCGGGGCUCAACCCCGUACUGCCGUUGAAACUGCAUCUCUUGAGUGAGUGAGAAGUAGGCGGAAGUCGUGGUGUAGCGGUGAAAUGCAUAGAUAUCACGCAGAACUCCGAUUGCGAAGGCAGCAUACCGGCGCUCAACUGACGCUCAUGCACGAAAGUGUGGGUAUCGAACAGGAUUAGAUACCCCUGUAGUC
Molecule: ribosomal RNA, 459 nt
Filed under: uncultured bacterium
Lineage: Bacteria
Description: partial 16S ribosomal RNA
Rfam family: Bacterial small subunit ribosomal RNA
Source: RNAcentral